This 33-nucleotide ribosomal RNA is filed under the name Faramea juruana. Its description in RNAcentral is "partial 26S ribosomal RNA". The record is from RNAcentral. Lineage: Eukaryota; Viridiplantae; Streptophyta; Magnoliopsida; Gentianales; Rubiaceae.
CGCGACCCCANGUCAGGCGGGAUCACCCGCUGA